Long non-coding RNA from Anser cygnoides (Swan goose), 1836 nucleotides. The record is from Ensembl. Lineage: Eukaryota; Metazoa; Chordata; Aves; Anseriformes; Anatidae.
GGGAGCUACUUUUAACUUAUAUCAGCUGAACGCAGAUCAAAUUUGGGAUGGAUAUGUCAAGCAAUCCACAGAUCACUGUCCUGAUGAGGAAUGAGUUGCUCAGACCUGCUUGCGUUCAUUUCAUACACCAAGAUAAUCACCUAGUGUUAGCAUACAGUGCUUUCUCUCAUCGUCACUUCAAAAGGUCUGCGUGUUACCUCCCUCCCUUCGGGACGGCCUCAGCCGCGGCUGUGCUGCCACACUCUGACCUCUCCAGCGAAAUACGUUUGACCCGAAAUAAAAUGGAUGAGAGAGGGGAAGGAGGAGGCUCAGGAGGCAGCGAAACGCAGCAGGUGCCCCCUCGCUUGGUCGUUGCCAGACGGGCAUGUGGCCACCGGUUGGCCAUCGAAGGUGUCCUCAAGGAUGUCACGGAGGCAACCACGCUUCGUGGUCUCGGAGGAGCAGAUGGCAACCAGCAGGCAGGUCUGGAGACCUCUCACCCCAGGCAGGUCUGGAGACCCACGCCAAACUCCACCACAGCACGGGAUGGUGAAAUGUUCUCUGCUCCUCUGGUGUCUCCACUGACUGCCCAAGAGCUGCAGCCAGCCCAAUAUUUAAAGCGCUGUGACAAAGUCGUAUCGCUGCCUCUGGUUCUUACCUUGUCUCAAACUUGGCAAUUAUUGGCCACUAUGAUUAUUUUUUCAUCAGCUUCCUUUGAAGGAGAAAAACCAAACCCCCCANNNNNNNNNNNNNNNNNNNNNNNNNCCCACCCUGAAAAACAAGCAAAAGAAACUCACAAAGAAUACACAUCACAUACAAAAAUAAACCAAUAUGCAUUAAAAGAGGCACUUGUAUAAAUAUACCUAGAAGUGGUUGAUUUUUUUUUCCCCCUUCCCGCAUUCAACUUGAAUCCUUUCCCAAACAUUAAAAAUAGACUGGUCUGAAGGGAAGCAGCAGAAACACGCUGUCACUUGGGUGCCUUUAACAUCAACCCUGCGUGUCCCCAGCUCUCCGAGCAGCUACCCGGCCGGUAUCCAUGUGAUGGGAGUGUGCCUCAGGAUCAUUUUGAAUAACCAGAAAUUUUCAUCUGAUUUUUUUGGGGGGAGAUUCACAUUAUUCACUAAAUUUGUAGGAUGGUGGCAGCAAACAACUAAGUUGGCUCAAUGAGGGCCCCGAGUACUCGAAGGGGUCAAAGGCUGGGAAGUGAUUUGGGGUACGCAGGCAGCACAAACCCAGCUGGUCGUGGCUUGUUGCUUUGAAUAUUGCAUAAGUGACUUGAAUGCUCGGUCUCUUUGGAUGCUGAAUGGUUUUAUGGCAGCUCUGCCCUGAAAGCUUUACAUGCCGGGGUCCUCGUGGACUGGCCUCUUAGGUGGUCACGUUCACUAAUAUUAAUAGUGCUGUUCGAUUGGGAUGGGAUUGUUCCCAGUAGUUGACUGUGCAAGAGCCUGCUGGAAGAUAAAGCAGCUGAAAACCUGAAGUCAGCAAAAGAAUAGGGCAAACAACUGAUAAGUGUCUGGGCUCCUCUUCCCAACUUGGCCAAGAGGACCUCUGCAGAAAGCUCUGCCAUUAGACACUAUUUCACUUCUCUUUUAAUUAUUUUUCCCAUGAGGAUAUGUACCUAUGGCAGGGAGGUUUUGCUUAGGUGUGGCAUGGGAGCAGACGCCCCAGGACCAGCAGCUGAUGCUCUGUGGGGCUUGGCAGGUGCUCCAUGCCACCGGACACAGCCGUGCAGUGGAGGUGAUGGCUGUUUUGGUGAGACCCAUGCGAAAAUGGCAGGCUUCUUGGCAUCACCAGUGCUGUGUGAUGCCCCACUGAAAGUGCAAUCUCUGGUGGUUGGUUUUGAGAGGCCCCUCAGCC